GCGCUUCCUAAGAAGGGGUGGAGCCCAGCCCGAUUCUGGAAAGGCCCCGUGGCUCCUGGCGUCCUCGGAAGGGGCCGCCUCCUUCCCUGAGCUGCUCUCCUCCGCCCGCAGCCCUAUUUGCUCAUGGCCACCGCGUCGUUGGCGCGCUGCUGCAGCACAGGGGUCCUCGCGGCAAAGGCUCCAGCCGGCGAAGCCCUGAAGCACGUGGGCAGGCCCCUGAGCGCCUCCAAGCCCGGAGGCCGGGCAGCUCUCGAGUGCUCAAGGGAGGAGGCGGAGCGCACGCGCGCAGUGUUAACGGCGACGGAGCAGAAGAUCGUUGAGCUGCACGAGGAGGCAUGCGCAGCUGGACAGAAGAAUUAUGUGGAUCCAGUUACUGGCUACCUUGUAUUCACCAAAGUUGCCCAUUUGCAGAGGGGAAACUGCUGUGGCUCCUCCUGCAGACACGCCCAACCCAGAAAUAUCAUGCAAGGAAUGAAAGUGGUGGCCUGAAAGUACCCUAUGGGAAUAUCAGUGUCCAUAUGGUCAAAUGAAUGUUAAAGAUCCGUCCAAAAAGAAGCAGUUCAAUUCCUUUUUCUAUGCUUGACGAUCGAAGCCUUUUGCAUCGUACCAUGAAGAAAGAAAAGAUCAGCAAUCACCUUCACUCUUCCCCCCCUUUUUCUGCCCCCUAUUGCUUCCCCAUUUUGCAUAUUGGCGUUCUUUUGACCUCUGCUGUUCCGUAUCCUGAAUAUUUUCCAAUUGUAAUUGAAAAAAAUCCAUGUGUGUGCCAGUGAUGCUGAGCCAUUGACAAGGCUUUCCCUUUCUCUGCCAUUAUAAACUGUAAAGAGAUGUUUGCUGUGCUUUUCAAAGUCAUCAGAGGAAAAGGGGGGGACCAGCAAGUCUAGGAAUAGCUUUGUUUUACUUUAAUGAUGCAGAGGUAUAGUUUGGGAACGCCAUCAAGGGCUUGUUCCUUUGAGUGCUAAAAAUGGAGAGUGAUUUCAAGAGACAGAUUCUCUUUUAUCACAAGUUCGCAAGAAUAUUCCAGUCUGAUCCACAGUGCAGUCAUUGGAUUUAAAACUUUGACUCUAAAAUUUUUGGAUCUGGAUAUAUUUGCAGCUUGAUCCUGGGCAUAUUUACUUGGAAGUAAGUACCACUAAAUUCACUGGGGCUUAAUCUCAAGCAACCAUGGAGAAGGCUUUAAGACAGGUUCACAUCUACAUAAGUAGCAACAAGCUGUGACUGUAUUAAAAGAUGCUAGAACGGAGGUGAUGUGAGAACGUUUUAUCUGUGAUAAUACAGCUAUGGUGCUUAUUCACAUAAGUAAAUCCUUUCUAGAUGUGGCAGUGAGAAUGUUUUAUCUGUGAUAAUAUAGCUGUGGUGUUCCAUCCACAUAAGUAAAUCCUCUCUAGAUGUGGCUGCCAUCAAGAGAGGAACAUACAUUUGACAAUUGACAGCUGAAGGUGAGAGUGCCAUUUUGUUUAAGUGACAUAAGGUGAUAUGAAAGUUCUGUGGUGCUGAAUCUGUGAUACCCCAUUCAUGACGGCAAGGUACCACGUGAGACUCAAGUAAUCAAGUAAUAAACAUGCACAUGUGAACCA
Molecule: RNA transcript, 1574 nt
Organism: Eublepharis macularius
Lineage: Eukaryota; Metazoa; Chordata; Lepidosauria; Squamata; Eublepharidae
Gene: C5H1orf53
Gene name: chromosome 5 C1orf53 homolog
Exons: 4
Source: RefSeq, a predicted model, not a curated record